This 1429-nucleotide long non-coding RNA is filed under the name Anser cygnoides (Swan goose). Its description in RNAcentral is "lncRNA (ENSACDG00005008788.1)". The record is from RNAcentral. Lineage: Eukaryota; Metazoa; Chordata; Aves; Anseriformes; Anatidae.
CCCUUUGCACGAGGAGCGGGGGCGUUGCGCAGGGUCCCCGGGUCCCCCCCCCAGUGCGUUGUGCGAGGUGCAGGGGUCCCCUCGUGCGUUGCACGGGGUCUUUGUGUCCCCACGUGUGCGUUGCACAAGUCUCGGGAGUCCCCACGUGCAUUGCACGAGGUGCAGGGGUCCCCUUGUGCAUUGCACGGGGUCCCCUUGUGCGUUGCACAAGUCUGAGGAGUCCCCACGUGCAUUGCACGAGGUGCAGGGGUCCCCUUGUGCGUUGCACGGGGUCCCCUUCUGCAUUGCACAAGUCUCAGGAGUCCCCCCGUGCAUUGUGCGAGGUGCAGGACUCCUCUUGUGCAUUGCGCAGGGUCCCCUCGUGCAUUGCACGGGGUCCCCAUGUGCAUUGCACAAGCCUCAGGAGUCCCCCCGUGCAUUGCGCGAGGUGCAGGGGUCUCCAUGUGCAUUGCAUGAGGUGCAGGACUCCUCUUGUGCGUUGCACAGGGUCUUUGUGUCCCCAUGAUUGUGUUGCACAAGGUGCAGGAGCCCCCGUGUGCAUUGUGCAGGGUCCCCUCGUGCAUUGCACGGGAUCCCCAUGUGCGUUGCACAAGUCUCGGGAGUCCCCACGUGCAUUGCACGAGGUGCAGGGGUCCCCUCGUGCGUUGCACGGGGUCUUUGUGUCCCCGUGUGGGCGUUGCACAAGUCUCGGGAGUCCCCACGUGCAUUGCACGAGGUGCAGGGGUCCCCUCGUGCGUUGCACGGGGUCUUUGUGUCCCCGUGUGGGCGUUGCACAAGUCUCGGGAGUCCCCACGUGCAUUGCGCGAGGUGCAGGACUCCUCUUGUGCAUUGCGCAGGGUCCCCUCAUGCAUUGCACGGGGUCCCCAUGUGCGUUGCACAAGUCUCAGGAGUCCCCACGUGCAUUGCACAAGGUGUGGCGCAGGGUCCCCUUGUGCGUUGCACGGGGUCCCCAUGUGUGUUGCACAGGUUCUUUGUGUCCCCUUGUGCGUUGCACAAGUCUCGGGAGUCCCCACGUGCAUUGCAGGAGGUGUAGGACUCCUCUCGUGCGUUGCACGGGGUAUUUGUGUCCCCAUGUGUGUGUUGCACGAGGUGCAGGGGUCCCCUUGUGCGUUGCACGGGGUCUUUGUGUCCCCAUGUGUGUGUUGCACGAGGUGCAGGGGUCCCUUGUGCGUUGCACGGGGUCCCCAUGUGCGUUGCACAGGCUCUUUGUGUCCCCAGGUGCGUUGCACAAGUCUCAGGAGUCCCCAUGUGCAUUGCACAGGGUCCUCGUGUCCCCACGUGCAUUGCACAAGGUGCAGGAGUGCUCACGUGCGUUGCACGGGGUCCCUGUGCAAGUUGCACGAGGUGCAGGGGGCCCCCUGUGCGUUGCACGUGGUUUUGUGUCCCUUCGUGCAUUGCACAAGUCCCAGGAGCCCCCACGUGCGUCGCA